UAUGUUUCCAUCAAAAUCUUUUCUCCUGUA
This 30-nucleotide non-coding RNA is filed under the name Mus musculus (house mouse). The record is from RNAcentral. Lineage: Eukaryota; Metazoa; Chordata; Mammalia; Rodentia; Muridae.